Verrucomicrobia bacterium IMCC26134 is the source of this 73-nucleotide transfer RNA. It matches the Rfam family "tRNA". From Rfam's summary of the family: Transfer RNA (tRNA) molecules are approximately 80 nucleotides in length. Their secondary structure includes four short double-helical elements and three loops (D, anti-codon, and T loops). NCBI's taxonomy places the organism in Bacteria, Pseudomonadati, Verrucomicrobiota. The record is from Rfam.
GGGGUCGUAGCUCAGUUGGUAGAGCACCUGCUUUGCAAGCAGGGGGUCGUCGGUUCGAGACCGUCCGGCUCCA